GACAGUGUUAUGCGAGAUCCAUAAAUGAAUUUCUACAACAUUUUUUCCAUAAUUUUUCGCAAAUUUUUCAUAGCCACUCUUUAAGACUAUCAACCAACUAUUCUGUAAACAUUCAAGGAACUAAUACUUCUGUAUAUGAAAAAGAUAAAGAAAAGAAAAGAAAAGAAAAUCAUCGACCUAUAACCUCCACACACACGCAUGGGGUAGUUCAUGAAUACGAGUAUAACAAAUCGAGAUUUAACAUCGAACUAAUGUAUCCACUGCACUUCCAGCGGCGUCGCUCGCCAUGUCGAUGCACUGAGAGCAGGAACCAGUCUAGCAGCGAUGGAUGAUGCUUCCGUUCAUGGACUCGCCAAGCCGCAUGCCACCGGCAUCCAGCUCUGCACUCCUUUCUCUGAAACCAUCACGACCGCACUUGCAACUCGUCGCGUGAUCAGAGCUAGGUUUCUUACUGCGAUG
Molecule: long non-coding RNA, 459 nt
Filed under: Physcomitrium patens
Lineage: Eukaryota; Viridiplantae; Streptophyta; Bryopsida; Funariales; Funariaceae
Description: long non-coding RNA (PPAT_LNC008233)
Source: RNAcentral